This 390-nucleotide ribosomal RNA is filed under the name uncultured bacterium. RNAcentral describes it as "bacterial SSU rRNA". It matches the Rfam family "Bacterial small subunit ribosomal RNA", at positions 28 to 412 of the family's 1533-position model. The record is from RNAcentral.
GACGAACGCUGGCGGCGUGCCUAACACAUGCAAGUGGAGCGACGAACCGGGCUUCGGCCCGGGGCCAAGCCGCGAACGGGUGAGUAACACGUGGGUAACCUGCCCUGAUGAUUGGGGACAACCCGAGGAAACUCGGGCUAAUACCGAAUGUGCCCUCCGACCAUAAGGUCUGCGGGGAAAGGAGCUUCGGCCUCCGCAUCGGGAUGGGCCCGCGGCGCAUUAGCUUGUUGGUGAGGUAACGGCUCACCAAGGCGACGAUGCGUAGCUGGUCUGAGAGGACGAUCAGCCACACUGGGACUGAGACACGGCCCAGACUCCUACGGGAGGCAGCAGUGGGGAAUCUUGCGCAAUGCGCGAAAGCGUGACGCAGCAACGCCGCGUGGGGAAGAC